This 402-nucleotide ribosomal RNA is filed under the name uncultured bacterium. RNAcentral's name for it is "bacterial SSU rRNA". It matches the Rfam family "Bacterial small subunit ribosomal RNA", at positions 355 to 774 of the family's 1533-position model. The record is from RNAcentral.
UAGGGAAUAUUGGACAAUGGGCGAAAGCCUGAUCCAGCCAUGCCGCGUGAGUGAUGAAGGCCUUAGGGUUGUAAAGCUCUUUCAGCGGGGAAGAUAAUGACGGUACCCGCAGAAGAAGCCCCGGCUAACUUCGUGCCAGCAGCCGCGGUAAUACGAAGGGGGCUAGCGUUGCUCGGAACCACUGGGCGUAAAGCGCACGUAGGCGGCUUUCUAAGUCAGGGGUGAAAUCCUGGAGCUCAACUCCAGAACUGCCUUUGAUACUGGAAAGCUUGAGUUCGGGAGAGGUAAGUGAAACUGCGAGUGUAGAGGUGAAAUUCGUAGAUAUUCGCAAGAACACCAGGGGCGAAGGCGGCUCACUGGCCCUAUACUGACGCUGAGGUGCGAAAGCGUGGGGAGCAAACA